UGCAUGCAGUGCAAUCAAAAGAAAGUUCAGACGAACAUGUUUUAUUACCCAAUAAAUUAGAAUUAAAUAAAGUGCGAAGUACAUCUGAGUUUGGGUGGCCUAAACGUUUGUGCCACAAUUUAUUUUCAGUACUAAUGGUAUUACAUGCAAAUGAAAGUAAAGGAGAACUAGGAAAAGGAGAAAUAUGCAAGGGAAAGAGUCGUCCCACUUUAGGCCCCUUUGCGAUCAUCUUCCUCGACACCGGAUCCUGCACAAC
RNAcentral lists this long non-coding RNA (256 nucleotides) under Olea europaea (common olive). RNAcentral describes it as "long non-coding RNA (OEUR_LNC005315)". Lineage: Eukaryota; Viridiplantae; Streptophyta; Magnoliopsida; Lamiales; Oleaceae. The record is from RNAcentral.